This 465-nucleotide ribosomal RNA is filed under the name uncultured bacterium. Its description in RNAcentral is "bacterial SSU rRNA". It matches the Rfam family "Bacterial small subunit ribosomal RNA", at positions 29 to 506 of the family's 1533-position model. The record is from RNAcentral.
AUGAAUGCUGGCGGCGUGUCUAAGGCAUGCAAGUCGUACGGAUCAUUUUCUGUAGCAAUACAGGAGAUGGUUAGUGGCAAACGGGUGAGUAACACAUUGGUAACCUGCCCUCCAGUCGGGUGCAACUCGCCGAAAGGCGAGCUAAUUCCACGAUGGUCUCCGGGGUUAAAUCCGGAGUAAAGCGCAAAACGCGCUGGAGGAGGGGCCUAUGUCCUAUCAGCUAGUUGGUGAGGUAACGGCUCACCAAGGCUAUGACGGGUAGGGGAUGUGAGAGCAUGAUCCCCCUCACUGGGACUGAGACACUGCCCAGACACCUACGGGUGGCUGCAGUCGAGAAUAUUCGGCAAUGGGCGAAAGCCUGACCGAGCGACGCCGCGUGUGGGAUGAAGGCCUUCGGGUCGUAAACCACUUUUGCCGAGGAAGAAUUAUGACGGUACUCGGAGAAUAAGAGGUUGCUAACUCUGU